This is a long non-coding RNA of Salvia splendens (bonfire salvia), 947 nucleotides long. RefSeq lists it as uncharacterized. NCBI's taxonomy places the organism in Eukaryota, Viridiplantae, Streptophyta, Magnoliopsida, Lamiales, Lamiaceae. The record is from RefSeq and is a predicted model, not a curated record. The transcript has 2 exons.
CAUGCACCCUAGUUUAAAUCUUUUAUCUCGUUUUCUCGAUUUUUCGUUUAUUCGGCGGCCGCCCAAGGCGUCGCGUGCGACGCCGGUCAGCCGCUUACGUCAAUAAACGCUCCGAUGGCUCCUCGUAAUUUCCCUCUUGAAAUCGAAAUAAAAUCCCCAAAAUGAUAAAAGUGUAUAAUUAAAUUAUCGCAAGCAUUUUCCCCUCGAACUAUAUUUAUUUCGGACUUAGGAUAUAAUUAUUCAUUCGUUGAAAUAUUCCGGAAUUAAUUAAAUAAUUCGUCACUAUUAAUUAUCAGCCCAAAGAUUUAAUUAAAAAGCCCAACUCACCACCUUAUAUCUCAAACUAAAAUUUUAGAGCCCAAAGCAAUUUAAAUGAAGCCCAAACUAAAUAAAUCAUCCAAUUUAAUUUGUAAUGCCCCAUUUCUUUUUUAAAAAAACAAAAGGCCCAACUCUAUCCUUCCACCAUCUAUCGGCCUUCACUCCCUUCUCCCCUUUCUCUUUUUUUUUUUCAAUUGAAACAUAACCCUAAUUGACGAAGAACUCAAAUUCCGUCGUCUUACCCAACCUCACAUCCCGAAUUGACGGCCAAUACCUCCUCCGUCGAGGAAUCCAUCGCGACGACCCUCACGCCGGCGGCUGCUACUUACCGAAGGUGAACGGUGCUGCUGUCGCUGCUGUCACGCCGUCGCCGCCGCCGUCAGACGCGCUGCCUCCUGAACUGCUGCCGCUGCUGCUCGUCGUUCGUCCAGCCUUCGCCGGGAGGAGCUGCUGCUGCCGCCAGCCGCUGCCUUCGUCGCCGGGAGGAGCUGCUGCUGCCGCCAGCCGCUGCCAUCGUCGCCGGUUCGCUCAGCUACCCGAACUCGCCCCAAACAGUUCCGAAACUACCCCUACCCAGCCCCGAUUGCUAGCCCGAAAGAUCACGGAGGAGGAAAAUCUCAUCACGAGGA